RNAcentral lists this ribosomal RNA (465 nucleotides) under uncultured Klebsiella sp. Its description in RNAcentral is "bacterial SSU rRNA". It matches the Rfam family "Bacterial small subunit ribosomal RNA", at positions 338 to 795 of the family's 1533-position model. The record is from RNAcentral. Lineage: Bacteria; Pseudomonadati; Pseudomonadota; Gammaproteobacteria; Enterobacterales; Enterobacteriaceae.
CCUACGGGCGGCAGCAGUGGGGAAUAUUGCACAAUGGGCGCAAGCCUGAUGCAGCCAUGCCGCGUGUGUGAAGAAGGCCUUCGGGUUGUAAAGCACUUUCAGCGGGGAGGAAGGCGUUAAGGUUAAUAACCUUGUCGAUUGACGUUACCCGCAGAAGAAGCAUCGGCUAACUACGUGCCAGCAGCCGCGGUAAUACAGAGGGUGCAAGCGUUAAUCGGAAUUACUGGGCGUAAAGCGCACGCAGGCGGUCUGUCAAGUCGGAUGUGAAAUCCCCGGGCUCAACCUGGGAACUGCAUUCGAAACUGGCAGGCUAGAGUCUUGUAGAGGGGGGUAGAAUUCCAGGUGUAGCGGUGAAAUGCGUAGAGAUCUGGAGGAAUACCGGUGGCGAAGGCGGCCCCCUGGACAAAGACUGACGCUCAGGUGCGAAAGCGUGGGGAGCAAACAGGAUUAGAUACCCUGGUAGUC